CCCUUAGAUGUCCUGGGCCGCACGCGCGUUACACUGAUGCAUUCAACGAGCUUAUAACCUUGGCCGAGAGGCCUGGGCAAUCUUAUUAACGUGCAUCGUGAUAGGGAUAGAUUAUUGAAAUUAUUAAUCUUGAACGAGGAAUUCCUAGUAAACGCAGAUCAUCAAUCUGCAUUGAUUACGUCCCUGCCCUUUGUACACACCGCCCGUCGCACCUACCGAUUGGAUGGUCCGGUGAAGCCUCGGGAUUGUGGUUCUUGCCGCUUUAUUGUGGCGUGACCGCGAGAACUUGUCUAAACCUUAUCAUCUAGAGGAAGGUGAAGUCGUAACA
RNAcentral lists this ribosomal RNA (328 nucleotides) under uncultured eukaryote. RNAcentral's name for it is "partial 18S ribosomal RNA". It matches the Rfam family "Eukaryotic small subunit ribosomal RNA", at positions 1470 to 1796 of the family's 1831-position model. The record is from RNAcentral.